CUAAUCACUGAUUAAUACUUUGGUAACAAUAUAUCUUCUUGUGGCAUCUUCAAAUUGGUUGGAUUCCAUGAUAGGGGAAAAAAGCUAUCUACAAUCAAAAAGAAAAACGCCAUCCGAUAUGAUUUGUUAGCGAGACAAAUGUGGGGCUAAGAUUGCCAUUAUGGGAAAUGUGGGGCUAAGAUUGCCAUUAUGGGAGUCGAUAUAUGCGUAGAGAGAAAGAGGGAGAGGGAGUUUUUGUAAUUACUACUUAGGGAAAGAAACAGAGAGCAUCAAAGCAUCGUCAUAGUUCCAUUAGGGGAAGGUUUGGCUUUUUCCUCCCCCACUUGUAAUAUUAUUCUUUCACGCUUUGGAUCUCCUUUUACCCACACCUAUUCUUUGCUUUAGU
Molecule: long non-coding RNA, 385 nt
Filed under: Arabidopsis thaliana (thale cress)
Lineage: Eukaryota; Viridiplantae; Streptophyta; Magnoliopsida; Brassicales; Brassicaceae
Description: ncRNA (AT5G09825)
Source: RNAcentral